This is a long non-coding RNA of Gadus macrocephalus (Pacific cod), 899 nucleotides long. RefSeq lists it as uncharacterized. NCBI's taxonomy places the organism in Eukaryota, Metazoa, Chordata, Actinopteri, Gadiformes, Gadidae. The record is from RefSeq and is a predicted model, not a curated record. The transcript has 2 exons.
AAGAGUUUACUUGUCAUUCUCUUGCGAGAUGUAGAGCCGGUUGGAUAGGCUAGCUAGAAAAGCUUCCACGAUGACAGCAUCCAUGGUGAGACCCGCUUUCAAACACCUGCACAGGUCAACUAAUGUGCUUCACCAUCCAAAGCACCCCUUAUGAGAAAGAAAAGGGGUAAAAUGUGCUGCCAAUAUUUGUUCUGGACAGGGCAUUCAGGAGCAGUGUGCGAAUGCUUAGAACGAACACCACUUAUUUGCCUUGCUUCAAAAUCAAUUAAUCACCAAUUUGAGCAGCCAACGUUCAAACAGACAUCCCCUCCGGCUGGGCCUAGCUCCCACCGUCCUGCCACUGACUAACUGAAUGGAGAGCCAGUGCUUUGCAACAGACCUGCAAAUGUUGUCAAUGCAGAUGUCCCGCAGCUGUUCGUACAUCGAGGACUGGUCCUUUCUGUUCGAUAGCAUGGUGAAGGUUGACUGUGAAUGCUCAUUGGUCACGUUGAUCCUAAUUUCUCCUGUACCACCAAAACAAACAACACCAUUAGCCACACCGAAGCACAUCCAGAAUAACAGCAGUGGAUUUCAAUUAGAUUGGAUGUCGGCCUUCUACAGAGGCACGGUAAUCAUUUUCUACGCAGUGCUUAUAUAAAUAGUUAUAUAAUAGGCUUCAGCUCUAUGGGAAAGCAACUAGUGCCUGUUGGGAAACCACAAUAGAAAAUCAAUAACAUGAAUUGCAUUUCAGUCGUGUUUGCAUGCUGUUGCCCCGUCGUUGAACCCCCAACUCUCGAUCAAUAUUAGAAACAUGUUGCUUCUGACAGCAACAGCACUUGACUGUGAAUUACAUCAGCAUAAUUUAAUGACCCUAUACAUUCCUCCCACCGUGCAAUUGGCCAGAUUGACAAACCACAAAC